CGGGCCAUCUGAAGUCCACCCCAACGUUCAAGCGCUGGCCCAAAACUCCCUCCGCAAACACAAUUUGAAAAACUGUAGUAACCGAAGAUUCGGAGGUUAACAGUAAUAUGGAUUUUGAGUGUUCAAAUCCGAGCUUGUGGAGAGAGGCUCUUUCUUCUUACCAAGCUCGUGUAGAAUCUCUGAACAAACCAGACCUUGUUUCACUAGAUGAUUUUUACCGUAACGAACUCCCUUCUCUUAUCUACCAACGAAACCCUAACCCUUACAUCACCACCACGGAGCUUUCCAAACUCAUGAGGUGGAAACUCACUCGCGGCAAAUGGAGGCCGCGUUUGUUGGAUUUCGUGUCUUCUUUGGACGAAUCUUCGGUGGAAUCUGCAUCGCAAAAGGCAUUCAAAUCUCUUCCUGAUUUAAAAAAAGCAACUUCUGAACUGACUGUUUUGAAAGGCGUGGGUCCUGCCACGGCUUCUGCCGUUUUGGCUGCUUACGCACCUGAUGUGGCGCCGUUUAUGUCCGAUGAGGCUAUGGAGGCAUGUCUUGGUAACUGUAAAGACUAUUCACUGAAGCAGUACUUAUUGUACGCUGAUAAAUUACAGGCAAAAGCUAAGGGGUUGUUGGUAUGACACCGCUUCGGUCUUUAUAUGGUUGUGACCCAUGCACACUUUUGAAGUUCAUAGAAGAGCCUUCUUUGAAUGAAGAGCAAAAUCUUAAACUUUGGGCCAGAGCUCUUAAUUGUCUUUUAAAAUACAACAGACAGUGGGCACCCUAUUCUGUAUUAAUAAGGUUGGGGGUAUUUAUGCUUCGAUGAAGUAGGAGAUGAAACCUAUGAUAUUCUUGUGGCCAUGCUUUAUUGCUUUAGUUGGUUCUUCUUAUUGCCUAAACUUGCAAGUGGUUGUGAAGAAAAUGUUGUGAAUAGAAGAUAUAAAUGAAGUGCCAGAUGACAAUGUUCUAAAUUAGUGUUUUACCUAUAUAAAAAUGUAUAAGAUGGUAUUAUGUAGAAAGUUCAUUUUUAUCAUAUGGUUUCUGGUGGAUAACAUCUUAGAAUAUAACCAAAUGUGCAUUCACUCUUUACUAGUUGAUCAGAAGGCUCAAAAUUUGUUAGUUGUAUUGUUUUAACUAACAGAAAGACAAUCUGUGUAGGAACGUGCUUAUGAUUUUUCACAUUAAGUUUGCAGUCAUGACAAGGUUU
This is an RNA transcript of Mangifera indica (mango), 1189 nucleotides long. RefSeq lists it as uncharacterized. The record is from RefSeq and is a predicted model, not a curated record. The transcript has 5 exons. NCBI's taxonomy places the organism in Eukaryota, Viridiplantae, Streptophyta, Magnoliopsida, Sapindales, Anacardiaceae.